GCAGCACAGGGGCUGCGUGCUGGUGGCAGCAGCCUGCCUGCAGCUGCUAUUUUUGUGGAGCAGCCCUUUUCCAUCAGAUGGCUGUACGUGUACCCAUCCGUCUGAUAAGCGUAGGCAGAAUCAAGCUAUCACCAAUGGAAUAAUUAAUCUCAUUUUCAGCUCGCUCCCUGCUGAGGUGUGAGAAGUGCCCAGGGAAGAGGGUGGCUGAGAUGACACUGCAGGAACUGGUCUGUUGGUGAUGGUUUGCCCUUGGCAGCUGUCUUCCCACACGCUCUCCUGACCUGGAAGCAGAGCGGUUUCACAGCAGCAUAAAAAAGAAGUGUUGAGAGCUGCUCUUAACCCUUUUGGAGUCCGAAGUCAAAAGGUAAAAUCAAAUGCUACUUUUUGGGUUUCUACAGGUGUUGAUACCGUAAUUGUUUGGAAAUGCUAUUUCCCUAUCACAUUUGAACUGAGAUUUCCCACAGGAGAAAAGCAGGGGUACGAUAAGAAGACUCAAAACAUUAGUAGAUCUCUUUAAGAGCACCAACAUAUCUGGGCUUAAAUUAUGCAGGUAAGUUACAACUGGUAAACUGCAAUUAUCUAUUUUACUUAAUAUAAAAACAUUGGCGUUAGGAGUCAGUGGGACUUUCAGUAGGGUUUAAUAUUGCUACGG
This 652-nucleotide long non-coding RNA is filed under the name Anser brachyrhynchus (Pink-footed goose). Its description in RNAcentral is "lncRNA (ENSABRG00000009815.1)". The record is from RNAcentral. Lineage: Eukaryota; Metazoa; Chordata; Aves; Anseriformes; Anatidae.